Molecule: microRNA precursor, 167 nt
Filed under: Oryza punctata
Lineage: Eukaryota; Viridiplantae; Streptophyta; Magnoliopsida; Poales; Poaceae
Description: MIR2118 microRNA precursor family
Rfam family: MIR2118 microRNA precursor family
Source: Rfam by way of RNAcentral
GCUAGGAAGAGGAGCAAACGAACGUCCAAGAGCGGUUGGCAUGGGAACAUGGAGGAAAGCCCAACACAGCCUCUCCUCUAAAUUUAGGGGUUGAGAUGUGUCUCGCUGUUUUCCCGAUGCCUCUCAUGCCUAUUGUUCUUCGGUGCUCCUUCCUCCUCCUCCGUGCU